Molecule: ribosomal RNA, 497 nt
Filed under: uncultured bacterium
Lineage: Bacteria
Description: partial 16S ribosomal RNA
Rfam family: Bacterial small subunit ribosomal RNA
Source: RNAcentral
GAUGAACGCUGGCGGCGUGCCUAAUACAUGCAAGUCGAGCGAACAGACGAGGAGCUUGCUCCUCUGACGUUAGCGGCGGACGGGUGAGUAACACGUGGAUAACCUACCUAUAAGACUGGGAUAACUUCGGGAAACCGGAGCUAAUACCGGAUAAUAUAUUGAACCGCAUGGUUCAAUAGUGAAAGACGGUUUUGCUGUCACUUAUAGAUGGAUCCGCGCCGCAUUAGCUAGUUGGUAAGGUAAUGGCUUACCAAGGCAACGAUGCGUAGCCGACCUGAGAGGGUGAUCGGACACACUGGAACUGAGACACGGUCCAGACUCCUACGGGAGGCAGCAGUAGGGAAUCUUCCGCAAUGGGCGAAAGCCUGACGGAGCAACGCCGCGUGAGUGAUGAAGGUCUUCGGAUCGUAAAACUCUGUUAUUAGGGAAGAACAAAUGUGUAAGUAACUAUGCACGUCUUGACGGUACCUAAUCAGAAAGCCACGGCUAACUACGUG